Molecule: ribosomal RNA, 496 nt
Filed under: uncultured bacterium
Lineage: Bacteria
Description: partial 16S ribosomal RNA
Rfam family: Bacterial small subunit ribosomal RNA
Source: RNAcentral
AUGAACGCUGGCGGCUUGCCUAAUACAUGCAAGUCGAGCGAACAGACGAGGAGCUUGCUCCUUUGACGUUAGCGGCGGACGGGUGAGUAACACGUGGAUAACCUACCUAUAAGACUGGGAUAACUUCGGGAAACCGGAGCUAAUACCGGAUAACAUGUUGAACCGCAUGGUUCAACAGUGAAAGACGGUCUUGCUGUCACUUAUAGAUGGAUCCGCGCCGCAUUAGCUAGUUGGUAAGGUAACGGCUUACCAAGGCAACGAUGCGUAGCCGACCUGAGAGGGUGAUCGGCCACACUGGAACUGAGACACGGUCCAGACUCCUACGGGAGGCAGCAGUAGGGAAUCUUCCGCAAUGGGCGAAAGCCUGACGGAGCAACGCCGCGUGAGUGAAGAAGGUCUUCGGAUCGUAAAACUCUGUUAUUAGGGAAGAACAAAUGUGUAAGUAACUAUGCACGUCUUGACGGUACCUAAUCAGAAAGCCACGGCUAACUACGUG